Molecule: ribosomal RNA, 474 nt
Filed under: uncultured bacterium
Lineage: Bacteria
Description: partial 16S ribosomal RNA
Rfam family: Bacterial small subunit ribosomal RNA
Source: RNAcentral
AACGAACGCUGGCGGCAUGCCUAACACAUGCAAGUCGAACGAGACCUUCGGGUCUAGUGGCGCACGGGUGCGUAACACGUGGGAAUCUGCCCUUUGCUUCGGAAUAACAGUUAGAAAUGACUGCUAAUACCGGAUGAUGUCGAAAGACCAAAGAUUUAUCGGCAAAGGAUGAGCCCGCGUAGGAUUAGGUAGUUGGUGGGGUAAAGGCCUACCAAGCCGACGAUCCUUAGCUGGUCUGAGAGGAUGAUCAGCCACACUGGGACUGAGACACGGCCCAGACAGAGGAGGGGGGCAGGAGGAGGAAAUAGUGGAGGUGGGGGCGAACGGCGAUAGAGCAAGGAGUGUGUGGUGAGGAAGGCCUUGGGGUUGUAAGUAUUUUGAACCAGGGAUGUAAAGGAUAGCUCCUGAAUACGAACCCAGGGCUAGCCCCGCCCCAGCAGCCGUGCUAAUUAGAGGAAGAGCAGCCGUACGAAC